GACGAACGCUGGCGGCGUGCUUAACACAUGCAAGUCGAGCGGAAGGACGCGACGUUCGCUUUACUGAUGUUACCAACGGACGGGUGACUCACACGUGGAUUACCCUCCUCUUAGACUUGGAUCUCUUCGAGAAACUGGAGUUCCUACCAGAUGAUAUUUUGAACGGGAUGGUUGAAAAGUGUAAUACGUUCUUGCUGUCACUUCUAGCUGUCUCCGCGCUGCAUUAGUUAGUUGGUAAGGUAACGGCUUACCAAGGCAACGAUGCAUAGCCGACCUGAGAGGGUGAUCGGCCACACGGGAGCUGAGACACGGACCGGACUCCUACGGGAGGCAGCAGUAGGGAAGCUUCCAGAAGGGGCGAAUGCCUGACGGAGCAACGCCGCGUGAGUGAUGAAGGUCGUGGGAUCGUAGAACGCUGUUAUUAGGGAAGAACAUAUGGGUAAGGAACUGUGCACAUCUUGACGUUACCUAAUCAGAAGGCCACGGCUAACUACGUG
This 497-nucleotide ribosomal RNA is filed under the name uncultured bacterium. Its description in RNAcentral is "partial 16S ribosomal RNA". It matches the Rfam family "Bacterial small subunit ribosomal RNA", at positions 28 to 507 of the family's 1533-position model. The record is from RNAcentral.